UAGCGACAGGCCUAACACAUGCAAGUCGAGGGCGAGCACAAGGAGCAAUCUGAGGUGGCGACCGGCGCACGGGUGAGUAACACGUAUGCAACCUGCCUGUAAGCGGGGAAUAACCCGUUGAAAGACGGACUAAUACCGCAUAAUACUAAAUUACUGCAUGGUAAUUUAUUUAAACAUUUAUGGCUUACAGAUGGGCAUGCGCAUGAUUAGCUAGUUGGAGAGGUAACGGCUCCCCAAGGCAACGAUCAUUAGGGGUUCUGAGAGGAAGGUCCCCCACACUGGUACUGAGACACGGACCAGACUCCUACGGGAGGCAGCAGUGAGGAAUAUUGGUCAAUGGACGAGAGUCUGAACCAGCCAAGUCGCGUGCAGGAAGAAUGUCCCUAUGGAUUGUAAACUGCUUUUGCAGGGGAAUAAAGUGCAUCACGUGUGAUGUUUUGUAUGUACUCUGCGAAUAAGGAUCGGCUAACUCCGUGCCAGCCGCCGC
RNAcentral lists this ribosomal RNA (487 nucleotides) under uncultured bacterium. RNAcentral's name for it is "bacterial SSU rRNA". It matches the Rfam family "Bacterial small subunit ribosomal RNA", at positions 37 to 518 of the family's 1533-position model. The record is from RNAcentral.